Pseudomonas fluorescens ABAC62 is the source of this 70-nucleotide non-coding RNA. Lineage: Bacteria; Pseudomonadati; Pseudomonadota; Gammaproteobacteria; Pseudomonadales; Pseudomonadaceae. The record is from Rfam.
GGCGCGGGACUUGCUAAACAAUCCUUACAGGUAACCAACGGCGGUUGCCCCUCCACGACAAAGACGUCGC